RNAcentral lists this ribosomal RNA (346 nucleotides) under uncultured fungus. Its description in RNAcentral is "SSU rRNA". It matches the Rfam family "Eukaryotic small subunit ribosomal RNA", at positions 20 to 370 of the family's 1831-position model. The record is from RNAcentral. Lineage: Eukaryota; Fungi.
GUAGUCAUAUGCUUGUCUCAAAGAUUAAGCCAUGCAUGUCUAAGUAUAAGCAAUUAUACCGUGAAACUGCGAAUGGCUCAUUAAAUCAGUUAUCGUUUAUUUGAUAGUACCUUACUACUUGGAUAACCGUGGUAAUUCUAGAGCUAAUACAUGCUGAAAACCCCAACUUCGGGAGGGGUGUAUUUAUUAGAUAAAAAACCAACGCCCUUCGGGGCUUCUUGGUGAUUCAUGAUAACUUUACGGAUCGCAUGGCCUUGCGCCGGCGACGGUUCACUCAAAUUUCUGCCCUAUCAACUUUCGAUGGUAAGGUAUUGGCUUACCAUGGUUUCAACGGGUAACGGGGAAU